RNAcentral lists this ribosomal RNA (870 nucleotides) under Triticum aestivum (bread wheat). Its description in RNAcentral is "partial small subunit ribosomal RNA". The record is from RNAcentral. Lineage: Eukaryota; Viridiplantae; Streptophyta; Magnoliopsida; Poales; Poaceae.
AUGGAAGCUGCUAAACCUCGAGCUCACGACGUCCACCUCAAUGCCGAGCCUCCUGACGCCGUCGGCCGUGACCGGCCCAUGAACGGCCACGACCAUGUCGGGCCAUCGCGCCCUGAGCCGGGGCCAGCUCCAGCCCGCGGCGUCCAGCCCCUUGAGCAGCCCCUCGACCUCCGCCGAGCUGGUGAAAACGAUGGCGUCGGGCGCGGUGGCGUCCGGGGCCACCAGCCGCUCGGCGCAGCCCGGGCCGACCCAGCACGUGGUGUACGCCGGAGCGCGCACGGCCGCCCAGCCGGCCGCGUCGAGCCGGGCGAGGAAGUCGGGCACGACGGGCGGCUCGCGGAGGCCGUCGACGUCGGGGACGGGGCAGAGCACGCGGCGGCCGGACCCGCGCCCCAGCGCCUCCACGAGGCCGGCGGGGGUGGGGACGUCCGGGACGAGGACGGCCAGCCUCCCGGCGUCGCGGCAGAGCCUGGCGAGGAAGGCGCCGUCCAGAAGGUCGGCGUCGCUGCCGAGUGCGGCGACGGUGAAGGGGAGCGCCGACGCGGCGUCGGAGAGGGGAAGCUGGGCGGAGGAGGAGGAGGGGAGGGCGCGGGAGAAGGCGGCGAUGCCGGAGCGGGAGGUGAAGGCGAGCGCCGUGAAGGGGUCGAGGGCGCCGGGCAGGAGGUAGGGGCGGAGGCGGUCGGGCUCGUGGGCGCGGAUGGCGAUGGUGGGCACGGGGAGCGGGUGCGCGCCGCGCUGCCGCAGCAGCGCGCCAAGCCGGCCACCGUAUCCUUCCCCGCCGCCCCCGCCGGUGGUCUGAGGCGUCGUGAACGCCACCCGCCGGCCCGCGAGCGAGAGGCCCUCCGGCUGCGCCAUUACCACUCUAUCUGA